Molecule: long non-coding RNA, 515 nt
Filed under: Mytilus galloprovincialis (Mediterranean mussel)
Lineage: Eukaryota; Metazoa; Mollusca; Bivalvia; Mytilida; Mytilidae
Source: RNAcentral
AAACAAUAUUAUUAAUACUCAAAUUAUCUCAAUUAUCAAAAUUAUCAAUGUCUGUCAUUUUAUGAGUAGUUUUCAGCUUUCGCCUUAAAUAUCGGAGUCGAACAGUUAUUCGUCAGUGUAGUCUCGUCGGUGUGAUCCAGAUAGGAGUGCUUCCAAAGCCAACCAGGCUCAGCUACUCAGGAGAAACGCUAACUCAAAAGACAGCUCAACACAACUGUAACUAUUCAAGCCAGACAACAUCAACUUUGGAAUAUUACGAACAUUUUGGACUUUAACUUUAAACUGUGAAUUGGAUUAGUGAAAUUAGUGACUUUAUUAUUUGGAACAUUUGAACUUUAUUUAUUUGUAAAUUGUUUCGGCAUCAUUAUUAUUAUUUGGACCUGUUACUAUAUAAAACUGUUACAACUUGCUGCUUGCUUUAUAGUUUUGCCUGCCAUUGCUUAAGUCUUGCGAAAGACUGACCCUCUGUGCCUUGGGCUGUGCAUGUUCGAUAGUCCCCCUUAAACUCGACGUGC